Long non-coding RNA from Austrofundulus limnaeus, 320 nucleotides. RefSeq lists it as uncharacterized. The transcript is spliced from 2 exons. NCBI's taxonomy places the organism in Eukaryota, Metazoa, Chordata, Actinopteri, Cyprinodontiformes, Rivulidae. The record is from RefSeq and is a predicted model, not a curated record.
CUAUUGGAUUUGCCCAGUCAUCGGACCCACGGAUCUCGACCCCUGCCUGUGUACCACGAGUUAAGUCUGACCCCCUUAACCUGUCACUGAUAUCUGACCACAUGGUUUUGACCUACGCCUGUCUCACGGAUUCUCCUCAAGCCUGCGUAUCACGCCGCAGCACUAAACACGGAAGUGCCAGGAACCAUCGUCACCUGAGACUCUCAAAGUCUUUCAAGGUUUCAGCUCCUAAAACUCUGCCACUAAAAAGACCUCCGUGUCCCGGUGAUGUGUCGGUCCCGACGCUGCUGCUCCAGUUUUAAUAAAAUCCUUAAAACGUC